Molecule: ribosomal RNA, 340 nt
Filed under: uncultured bacterium
Lineage: Bacteria
Description: bacterial SSU rRNA
Rfam family: Bacterial small subunit ribosomal RNA
Source: RNAcentral
GAUAAACGCUGGCGGCGCACAUAAGACAUGCAAGUCGAACGGAAGUCGUUACAAAAUGAAUAGAAGAUUUAUCUGAUUGAAGUUUUGUAACAAUGGCUUUAGUGGCGGACUGGUGAGUAACGCGUAAGCAAUCUACCUAUUAGAGGGGAAUAACAAUGAGAAAUCAUUGCUAAUACCGCAUGAGACCACAGGACCGCAUGGUCAAGGGGUCAAAGAUUUAUCGGUGAUAGAUGGGCUCGCGUCUGAUUAGCUGGUUGGUGAGGUAACGGCCCACCAAGGCGACGAUCAAUAGCCGACCUGAGAGGGUGAUCGGCCACAUUGGAACUGAGAAACGGUCCAA